AGAAGUAAAAGUCGUAACAAGGUCUCCGUUGGUGAACCAGCGGAGGGAUCAUUACCGAGUGCAAACUCAUAACCCUUUGUGAACCUAUAUCUGUUGCUUCGGCGGCUCGCUCUCGGGCGAGCCCGCCGGUAAUAUCAGUAUCUCUGUUUGAACCCGACGAUACUUCUGAGUGUUCUUAGCGAACAGUUAAAACUUUUAACAACGGAUCUCUUGGCUCUA
Molecule: unclassified non-coding RNA, 219 nt
Filed under: plant metagenome
Description: partial contains small subunit ribosomal RNA, internal transcribed spacer 1, and 5.8S ribosomal RNA
Rfam family: Eukaryotic small subunit ribosomal RNA (bases 1-54)
Source: RNAcentral